UGAUGAUGGGCGGGAUCCCGACCGUGACCAUGGGGGUGUUGUUGCCGUCGCCGCCGUCCUCGGAGGCCCUCCCGUAGCUCAUCUUGCCGUGCAGCAUGGCGUCGGUGAUGUGGGUACUGUGCAGGGCGGCAUGCUGCUGGUGCUUGUCGUCGUCGAUGUUGAACUCGUGCUCGAGGUCGUCGAUGUCCUCCUCGUCCUCGUCGCCCUCCACCCUGGGGCUCCCCUUGAGGCGCUUGUAGCGGGUCUUGCACUGGGGGCAGUUCUGGGUGCCCUCCCG
Molecule: long non-coding RNA, 277 nt
Filed under: Hordeum vulgare
Lineage: Eukaryota; Viridiplantae; Streptophyta; Magnoliopsida; Poales; Poaceae
Description: long non-coding RNA (HVUL_LNC013213)
Source: RNAcentral